This 1287-nucleotide long non-coding RNA is filed under the name Equus asinus (donkey). Its description in RNAcentral is "lncRNA (ENSEASG00005033303.1)". Lineage: Eukaryota; Metazoa; Chordata; Mammalia; Perissodactyla; Equidae. The record is from RNAcentral.
AAAGCAAUAGGACUGACCCACGAAGACCCUGCUCGCUUUCUGGCGUCGGUCUCUCUAGGAUCCAUCUCCGAUUAAUUGCUUUCCGGCUCUGAGAUGGCACCUCCAUCGCCAGUCAAAGUUUUAAUUAAUCAUGCCAGCAGAUGGGCUGUCACGGCCGGAGCGGCCAGGGUAAUGAACUCAUUUAUUAUCAGCCUCUGUCAGCGGGAGGCCAUCCGGGCUUCUGGGAAAAGAAGAGAGGCUCCUGACACCAGAGCCCAGGACACGUGCAGUUUGGGGGAAAUCUCUGGAAAUGCUUUGGUUUCAGAUCAUCCACUGGCCUUUAAGAGGGGCGUGGGAGGAAGGGGUGGGUAGCAGGAAGGAGAUUGUGACUCAGGCUGCAGGAAGGGGCCUCGAUAGCAUGGUGCUCUGGAUGGCGCUUGAGGCUGGCCUGGCCCUCUGGUGCCCCUGCACCCACCUGACUCGUGGAGCCAGGGUGACAUGGGGUAGCCAGGCCAUGUGUUCUUGCACAGGGCAUCACUUUGACCCGCCAGUCCUCAGAGGUCGAGGGUCAGGCCCUAGGGGUGAGUGGCUGGAUUUUGUGCCCUGGGUUUUCUUGUUCAUUCUCUCUGAUGCCCACACCAUGUUAUGCAUGACAAGUCUUUAAUAAAUGCUGUCGAAUUAAUGGAAGAAAGGAUAAAUGAAUACAUAUGUGUGGAGUGCCCAGCAUGGAAGCCACCACUAUGAGAAGAAAGCUUUGAUGGAGUCCACCUUAGGGCGGAGAUUCUCAGCAGCACUGAGGGAGAAGCCUGGGUCUAAAAGACCCCUUCUCGCUUUAGGGACUUACAGGAUUCCUCUGACAGGACUGGGGCAGACAGAAUGCAGAACAAGCAUGGCAACUCAAGUAGAGAGGCCAAGGAAUGGUCACAGGGUGUCACAGUCAGAAGGGACGUUCGUGUGGGGAGAAGACCUUUGAUCAGCAGCCCUUUCCUUCUCCUGCGGUGGCCUGAACUCAGAGGGUAUAACUGGGAUGGAGCCAGGCCACCGCCUUACGUGUGUGCACACAUGGGAGCAGCCUGGGCCUCCUCGCUGUGGAAGGGCCGGAGUGUCUGCUGUGAUGGGGCACACAUCUCCUUCUUGGUUGAGCAGUAAACAAGGACUGUUCGGUUGGGCCUGUUUCCUUGGAGCAUAUCUUCAUGAAUAUUUGCUGGUGCAGAGAAGUGAUGAAGUACCCAUAGUCCACACUAUGAAAUCAGAAAGUCUCUGAAGAAGAAAUUGGCACUCUGCGGCCAUGGUCCUAAGAGAGAAGAC